This is a long non-coding RNA of Sebastes umbrosus (honeycomb rockfish), 1631 nucleotides long. RefSeq lists it as uncharacterized. The transcript has 2 exons. The record is from RefSeq and is a predicted model, not a curated record. Lineage: Eukaryota; Metazoa; Chordata; Actinopteri; Perciformes; Sebastidae.
CGUGCUGCAGGCACAAAUUGUAAUUCAUAAAGGUUAAGGGGGUCAAUGCCUUUUAUUACCAGUCUGAGUGCAUCCAGCUUGAUGGGGCGGGCAUGCAAAUGGAAUGUCUCGGAGUGUUCUAUGCAAGAACUCAGACAGCGAGUGCGUGCGUGCCUCUGAAUGGGAGGAAGUAAAAGGUGGUGGGGGGUGUGUGAGAUCGGCUGCUCUCUCCACCUUCCACAGCCGUGUAGGACCACACAGCCGCUGCCCGGUUAAUUAGACAGUAUGACAUUGACCUCAGUUACCAUGACCCCGGCAACAAUGGCCAUGAUCACAUUAGACCCUAUUGCACCCUCUGCUGGUCCUUUACGGAAAUGUUCUUGUUGCUACAAGUAAUGUUCAUGCUAGUCUCAGGCCGGACUGGGCUUAUAAUGAAGCAAAAACAGGUUUGUAAGUUUAUGAUACAAUAAUUACUGGACAUGAAACAUAGUUUUACCAGAUUAUGUGAUGAUUUUUUUCUGGGCUUAUGAUACAGAAGUUUGGUUUGAGCCUUGCAGAGGUUAUCGCUAACACGAUGAUCAAUCAUGGGAAAUAGGCUGUUGAAAAAGCACCCAACUUGGCACAAAACUCCUACAUCAAUGUGAACAAGCUCAAAAUUAACACAUGAAAGAAACUGCUCACAGAAAACAAUAGAACACAACAGAUCAGAAAAAAAUAGGAGAAAAUAGAAUCGGGUAGAUAUGAUAUGAUAGAACAGAAUAUGAUAGAAUAGAAUAUAUCAGAAUACAAUAAGAUAAACAGAAUAGAAUAGAACAGAACGGAAUGCGAAUGAAUAGAAUGCACCAGAAUAUAAUAUGAUUGGAUAGAUCAGAAUAAAAUAAAACAACAGAAUAUGGUAGAAUAGAAGAGAUUAUGAUACAAUAGAAUACAUUAGAAUAGAACAGAAUAUGAUAAUAGAACACAUUAGAAUAGAACAGAAUAUUAUACAAUAGAAUACAUUAGAAUGUAAUAGAUUAUGAUAGAAUAUAAUACAUUAGAAUAGAAUAGAACAGAACAUGAUAGAACAGAAUAAAACAGAACAGAAUAUGAUAGAAUACACCAGACUACAAUAUGAACACACCAGAAUAGAAUAUGAAUACACCACAAUAGAAUACACCACAAUAGAAUAUGAGCACACCACAAUAUCAUAUGAAUACACAAGAAUAGAAUAUGAAUGAACCAGCAUAGAAUAUGAAAACACCAGAAUAGAAUACAACAGAAUAGAAUAUGAAUACACCAGAAAAGAAUAUGAAUACACCAGAACAGAAUAUGAAUACACCAGAAUAGAAUAUAAAAACACUAGAACAGAAUAUGAAUAUACCAGAAUAGAAUACACCGGAGAAGAUUAUGAAUACACCAGAAUUAGGGGUGAUGGAAAAUAUCAAAUAUCAGGAUAUUAAGUUUUGUUAUACUGUAUCGAUUCUCCAAAACGAUAUUGAUUUCUAACUAAUAAAUUACAUGCAAAGAUGAACUCAGUCAGUACUUGAUUUCAUUGGCAAAGAUAUGCGCCCUCUCAAAGUAGUGCUAUGAUGUUGGAUGUUCAUAAUUAGAUGUUACAGGGACUGUUAUGAAUGAAAAUCACACUGUUCUGAUUGCAUAAAAACGUAAACAUU